Molecule: small nuclear RNA, 194 nt
Organism: Octopus sinensis (East Asian common octopus)
Lineage: Eukaryota; Metazoa; Mollusca; Cephalopoda; Octopoda; Octopodidae
Product: U2 spliceosomal RNA
Exons: 1
Source: RefSeq, a predicted model, not a curated record
UUUGCUUCUCAGCCUUUUGGCUAAGAUCAAAGUGUAGUCUCUGUUCUUAUCAGCUUAAUAUCUGAUAUGGUCCCUAUUUGGGACCAUCAAUAUUAAACUGAUUUUUAGAAUGAGGCAAACAAUUAGGGGCUUGCUCUGCCUUCGGCACGGUUUGACCUGAUAUUGCAGUACUUUCAGAAUUCAACCCAGUAACU